UGGGGAAUUUUGGACAAUGGGCGCAGGCCUGAUCCAGCCAUGCCGCGUGCGGGAAGAAGGCCUUCGGGUUGUAAACCGCUUUUGUCAGGGAAGAAAUCCUUUGGGCUAAUACCUCGGAGGGAUGACGGUACCUGAAGAAUAAGCACCGGCUAACUUCGUGCCAGCAGCCGCGGUAAUACGAAGGGUGCAAGCGUUACUCGGAAUUACUGGGCGUAAAGCGUGAGUAGGUGGUUUCUUAAGUCUGCUGUGAAAGCCCCGGGCUCAACCUGGGAACUGCCUUUGUGACUGCAAGGCUGGAGUGCGGCAGAGGGGGAUGGAAUUCCGCGUGUAGCAGUGAAAUGCGUAGAUAUGCGGAGGAACACCGAUGGCGAAGGCAAUCCCCUGGGCCUGCACUGACGCUCAUGCACGAGAGCGUGGGGAGCAAACA
This 427-nucleotide ribosomal RNA is filed under the name uncultured bacterium. Its description in RNAcentral is "bacterial SSU rRNA". It matches the Rfam family "Bacterial small subunit ribosomal RNA", at positions 355 to 774 of the family's 1533-position model. The record is from RNAcentral.